AUACGUAGGUGACAAGCGUUAUCCGGAUUUACUGGGCGUAAAGGGCGUGUAGGCGGUCUUGCAAGUCAGAAGUGAAAUUCCUGAGCUCAACUCGGGCGCUGCUUCUGAAACUGCAGGGCUUGAGUACAGGAGAGGAGAGUGGAAUUCCUAGUGUAGCGGUGAAAUGCGUAGAUAUUAGGAGGAAUACCAGUGGCGAAGGCGACUCUCUGGACUGAUACUGACGCUGAGGCACGAAAGCGUGGGGAGCAAACAGGAUUAGAUACCCUGGUAGUCCACGCUAUAAACGAUGAGUGCUAGGUGUCGGGGGUCAAACCUCGGUGCCGCAGUUAACACAUUAAGCACUCCGCCUGGGGAGUACGGCCGCAAGGCUGAAACUCAAAUGAAUUGGCGGGG
RNAcentral lists this ribosomal RNA (393 nucleotides) under uncultured bacterium. RNAcentral describes it as "partial 16S ribosomal RNA". It matches the Rfam family "Bacterial small subunit ribosomal RNA", at positions 523 to 918 of the family's 1533-position model. The record is from RNAcentral.